Molecule: ribosomal RNA, 798 nt
Filed under: uncultured bacterium
Lineage: Bacteria
Description: bacterial SSU rRNA
Rfam family: Bacterial small subunit ribosomal RNA
Source: RNAcentral
GCGACCUACCUCGGUGUGGGGCAUAGCCGGUCUAACGACCGGGUAAUUCCGCAUACGCUCUCGAGAGGGCAUACUCUUGAGAUGAAACCAGUAAUGGGCACUGAGAGGGGCUUGCGGCCUAUCAGCUAGUUGGAGAGGUAACGGCUCACCAAGGCUACGACGGGUAGCUGGUCUGAGAGGAUGGCCAGCCACAUUGGGACUGAGAUACGGCCCAGACUCCUACGGGAGGCAGCAGUGGGGAAUCUUGCGCAAUGGCCUAACGGCUGACGCAGCGACGCCGCGUGAGGGACGAAGCUCCUCGGAGUGUAAACCUCUGUUGCCCGGGACGAAUAGCGGAUUAUUCCGACUUGACGGUACCGGGUGAGGAAGCACCGGCUAACUCCGUGCCAGCAGCCGCGGUAAUACGGGGGGUGCAAGCGUUGUCCGGAAUCACUGGGCGUAAAGGGCGCGUAGGUGGUCUUGUAAGUCUGUGGUGAAAGCCCGGGGCUCAACCCCGGGUCUGCCGUGGAUACUGCGAGACUUGAGUACUGUAGAGGCAGGUAGAAUAUCGGGUGUAGCGGUGGAAUGCGUAGAGAUCCGAUAGAAGACCGGUGGCGAAGGCGGCCUGCUGGGCAGUAACUGACACUGAGGCGCGACAGCGUGGGGAGCAAACAGGAUUAGAUACCCUGGUAGUCCACGCCGUAAACGAUGGGUACUAGGUGCUUGGGGGAGCGACCCCUUGAGUGCCGGCGCUAACGCAGGAAGUACCCCGCCUGGGGAGUACGGCCGCAAGGCUGAAACUCAAAGGAAUUGACGGGG